AAUAACGAAAUGAAGGUACUGGUACAAAGCACAUCAAACCCAGAAGACGACAAUGUGUCAAGCUUCACACAGGGCGGUGACUGAAUGCUGCUUGUUACCACUGUGUGGCACUAGUGGUUGUGCUGCUGUAACUCAGGAAAUGAUCCUUGCACCACCUGUCCAGUAUGCAAGCCUCGUCGAGAAGAUCUUGCUUGGUAAAGUCACACACUGCUAAAAUAUGUGUGCAAGGCAGAGUGUGCUGGUUAUAAAAAGCACAUGUGCAAGAAGUCAAACACAUUGAAACUGUACUGUGAUCUCGGUGAAAUUGCAACAUAAAAAUUAGGAGUGGAAGUGA
Rhipicephalus microplus (southern cattle tick) is the source of this 334-nucleotide long non-coding RNA. RefSeq lists it as uncharacterized. The record is from RefSeq and is a predicted model, not a curated record. NCBI's taxonomy places the organism in Eukaryota, Metazoa, Arthropoda, Arachnida, Ixodida, Ixodidae.